RNAcentral lists this ribosomal RNA (403 nucleotides) under uncultured bacterium. RNAcentral describes it as "bacterial SSU rRNA". It matches the Rfam family "Bacterial small subunit ribosomal RNA", at positions 474 to 879 of the family's 1533-position model. The record is from RNAcentral.
UGUACCUUAUGAAUAAGGAUCGGCUAACUCCGUGCCAGCAGCCGCGGUAAUACGGAGGAUCCGAGCGUUAUCCGGAUUUAUUGGGUUUAAAGGGUGCGUAGGCGGCCUUUUAAGUCAGCGGUGAAAGUCUGUGGCUCAACCAUAGAAUUGCCGUUGAAACUGGGGGGCUUGAGUAUGUUUGAGGCAGGCGGAAUGCGUGGUGUAGCGGUGAAAUGCAUAGAUAUCACGCAGAACCCCGAUUGCGAAGGCAGCCUGCCAAGCCAUUACUGACGCUGAUGCACGAAAGCGUGGGGAUCAAACAGGAUUAGAUACCCUGGUAGUCCACGCAGUAAACGAUGAUCACUAGCUGUUUGCGAUACACUGUAAGCGGCACAGCGAAAGCGUUAAGUGAUCCACCUGGGGA